GAUGAACGUUGGCGGUGUGCCUAAUACAUGCAAGUCGAACGGAGAUUGUAGCAAUACGGUCUUAGUGGCGAACGGGUGAGUAACGCGUUGGUGAUCUGCCUCGAAGUGUGGAAUAACGAUUCGAAAGAAUCGCUAAUACCGCAUAGUCUCUCUUUUUCCAGAAAUUUGAGAGUAAAGGAUUUAUUCGCUUUGAGAGGAGCCUGCGUCCCAUCAGCUAGUUGGUAAGGUAAUGGCCUACCAAGGCGAUGACGGGUAGGGGACCUGAGAGGGUGGCCCCCCAAAUGGAACUGAAACACGGUCCAUACACCUACGGGUGCAGCAGUAGGGAAUAUUAGAAAUGGACGAAAGUCUGAUCUAGCAACACCGCGUGUGCGAAGAAGGCCUUCGGGUUGUAAAGACACUUUUGUAGAGGAUGAGGAAGGACGGUACUCUCAGAAUAAAGUCUCGGCUAACUACGUG
RNAcentral lists this ribosomal RNA (459 nucleotides) under uncultured bacterium. RNAcentral's name for it is "bacterial SSU rRNA". It matches the Rfam family "Bacterial small subunit ribosomal RNA", at positions 28 to 507 of the family's 1533-position model. The record is from RNAcentral.